GGUUCCGUAGUGUAGUGGUUAUCACGUUCGCUUUACACGCGAAAGGUCUCCGGUUCGAACCCGGACGGAACCA
Molecule: transfer RNA, 73 nt
Filed under: Rhipicephalus microplus (southern cattle tick)
Lineage: Eukaryota; Metazoa; Arthropoda; Arachnida; Ixodida; Ixodidae
Description: tRNA-Val
Rfam family: tRNA
About the family: Transfer RNA (tRNA) molecules are approximately 80 nucleotides in length. Their secondary structure includes four short double-helical elements and three loops (D, anti-codon, and T loops). Further hydrogen bonds mediate the characteristic L-shaped molecular structure. tRNAs have two regions of fundamental functional importance: the anti-codon, which is responsible for specific mRNA codon recognition, and the 3' end, to which the tRNAs corresponding amino acid is attached (by aminoacyl-tRNA synthetases). tRNAs cope with the degeneracy of the genetic code in two manners: having more than one tRNA (with a specific anti-codon) for a particular amino acid; and 'wobble' base-pairing, i.e. permitting non-standard base-pairing at the 3rd anti-codon position.
Source: Rfam by way of RNAcentral